Molecule: ribosomal RNA, 252 nt
Filed under: uncultured bacterium
Lineage: Bacteria
Description: partial 16S ribosomal RNA
Rfam family: Bacterial small subunit ribosomal RNA
Source: RNAcentral
UACGUAUGUCACAAGCGUUAUCCGGAUUUAUUGGGCGUAAAGCGUGUCUAGGUGGUUAUGUAAGUCUGAUGUGAAAAUGCAGGGCUCAACUCUGUAUUGCGUUGGAAACUGUAUAACUAGAGUACUGGAGAGGUAAGCGGAACUACAAGUGUAGAGGUGAAAUUCGUAGAUAUUUGUAGGAAUGCCGAUGGGGAAGCCAGCUUACUGGACAGAUACUGACGCUAAAGCGCGAAAGCGUGGGUAGCAAACAGG